UGGGGGAUAUUGCACAAUGGGCGAAAGCCUGAUGCAGCGACGCCGCGUGGGGGAUGAAGGCCUUCGGGUUGUAAACUUCUUUUGCUCUGAACAAGGCGCACCAUGGGGUGUGUUGAGUGUAGGGGUUGAUUAGCGCCGGCUAACUACGUGCCAGCAGCCGCGGUAAUACGUAGGGCGCGAGCGUUGUCCGGAAUUAUUGGGCGUAAAGGGCUUGUAGGUGGCUGGUUGGGUCUGUCGUGAAAGCUCAUGGCUUAACUGUGGGUUUGCGGUGGGUACGGGCUGGCUUGAGUGCAGUAGGGGAGGCUGGAAUUCCUGGUGUAGCGGUGGAAUGCGCAGAUAUCAGGAGGAAUACCGGUGGCGAAGGCGGGUCUCUGGGCUGUUACUGACACUGAGGAGCGAAAGCAUGGGUAGCGAACAGG
RNAcentral lists this ribosomal RNA (419 nucleotides) under bacterium. RNAcentral describes it as "partial 16S ribosomal RNA". It matches the Rfam family "Bacterial small subunit ribosomal RNA", at positions 355 to 776 of the family's 1533-position model. The record is from RNAcentral.